AGCGGGAGGCUUAACACAUGCAAGCCGAGCGGUAGAGAUCUUUCGGGAUCUNGAGAGCGGCGUACGGGUGCGGAACACGUGUGCAACCUGCCUUUAUCAGGGGGAUAGCCUUUCGAAAGGAAGAUUAAUACCCCAUAAUAUAUUGAAUGGCAUCAUUUGAUAUUGAAAACUCCGGUGGAUAGAGAUGGGCACGCGCAAGAUUAGAUAGUUGGUAGGGUAACGGCCUACCAAGUCAGUGAUCUUUAGGGGGCCUGAGAGGGUGAUCCCCCACACUGGUACUGAGACACGGACCAG
This 294-nucleotide ribosomal RNA is filed under the name uncultured Flavobacterium FB3. RNAcentral's name for it is "partial 16S ribosomal RNA". It matches the Rfam family "Bacterial small subunit ribosomal RNA", at positions 39 to 334 of the family's 1533-position model. Lineage: Bacteria; Pseudomonadati; Bacteroidota; Flavobacteriia; Flavobacteriales; Flavobacteriaceae. The record is from RNAcentral.